This 365-nucleotide long non-coding RNA is filed under the name Acyrthosiphon pisum (pea aphid). RNAcentral's name for it is "uncharacterized LOC115034574". The record is from RNAcentral. Lineage: Eukaryota; Metazoa; Arthropoda; Insecta; Hemiptera; Aphididae.
UUCACAUAUUGGAUUAAAAUAUAACUACAAAAUAAAUGAAGUAAUCAAGUUAAUCGCAAAGAAGUGGAAAAAAUCUAUUUUGACUUACUGCACUUUAUAACUUUCACAUAACACAUUAUGAUUCCAAAUCAGAAUUUGAAUAUGCCAUAGUGAAAUAUAUUUUCACUUACAAUUUGGAAGAUCCUCUAUGUUAAAAUGAUAUUCAUACCGAUAUUUCCAAUUGCAUUUCAAAAUACCAAUAUUUUGUUAACAGUGAAAAAUAAAUUAACGCUUCACAUAUCGGAUUAAAAUAUGACUACAAAAUAAAUUAAGUAAUCAAGUUAAUUGCAAAGGAGUGGAAAAAAAAUCUAUUUGGACUACUGCAC